UUCCCCCUAACCCUAGCCGCCCCUCCCCUAAUCCCUUGGGAUUUUUCAGCCGCCCCUCCCCUUUCUCUUGUGCAGCCGCCCCCUCUCUCUAGCCUUGGACGCCACCCCCCUCUCACUCCUCCACCCAUUUGCAGCUGCCACCCACCUCCCUCAUCAAACCCUAGCUGCCCCCUCCUCAAGCCUUCUCUCCAAGGUGCCAUUCCUUUCCCGCUCGGAUCUACGUCGCGUUGGUGCAAGUCUCCAAUUGGAUUUUGGUGGAGGGAAGAAGGGAGGAAAGGGGGUGGAUUCAAGGUGAUUUUGAGAUUGUAUCUUGUUUAAUUGUGCUGUAAUCCAAUUGAUUAUAUGUUUACCUAUGCGAAUUGGUAGAGGUGUUGUCCUGAAAUUUUGUGGGUGGACGAAUAACAGUAAUUCUAGUGAUUUCUGGGAAUUUUUCGUGGGUAAUUAUUGGGGAUCAGUGGGAGAAUCAUGUAUAGCUUUGUCAUACCUUUCCAACGAGUACUUUUGCGCUCGAUUCGGAGUUAUAUUUUAGGAGAUAUCGCUGUUCGAAUCCGGGUAUGUUGCUGUCCAAAAAAAACAGAUUUCUGCAUGUGGGCGAACAACAGUAGUAUUAGCAGUUUCUGGGGAUUUUUCGUGAAAAAUUAGUGAUAAUCAGUAUGAGAAUCAUUUAGAGCCUUGUCACACCUUUCCAACGAGUACUUAUGCGCUCGAUUCGGAGUUAUGCAUUAGGAGAUAUCGCUGUUUGAACCCGGCUAGGUUGCUGUCUAAAAACAGAUUGCAGAAUGUAUCUUGUGGACGAUUUUGGGCUAAGUAGAUGUGGGAAUUUAAUUAUCUUUUGAAUACAAAAUUUGUGGGGAAUUUUAUGUAGAUGCUUCCGGAGUUUUUGAUUGAUAUCACUGCUAUUAUAAUUUUAAAGUUAUGAAAUUAUCAAACAGCGUCGCUGCAAUUUGGUGGUGAUGGGGAGAGUUGUUGUUUGCAACGGGUUGAAAUUGUGCGUAGGUGCGGCGUUGUUUAUUAGAGUUUGUUAUGUGAAUUUAUGCACUAAGGUGUGUGUCAAAAACAGGUGGUGGACUUCCGGAUCGUACUUAGUACCAUUCCAAAUUCUCGGUGAAGGCAAGUAAAUACAGUCUUGGUUGCUACCGUUUGGUUUGCAUCCUAUUCACUAUCAUUGAGCAUGCAUAAGUUUUAAAUAUGUUAACCAUUGAAUUCUAUGAUGAAUUUUAUUUGUUCAAAAGUAUUAAUUCUCAAUUGUCUAAUAUUGUGGAUGAUCAUGAUUUGGUAAUGAUAUAUGUGGUUGAUUCCCAUCUUGGAUGAAGUUGAAGUAUCUUUUUGAAUCACGUUAUAUGAAGUGUUGUAGGCAUGUCAUGCACAUCGCAUCAUUCAUCUUGCAUUUGAAGUUAUGUCGUGAUCUUAUGGUCUGACCGUACCAGUACAUUUUUUAGCAUCGUACGUUGCCCGAGGAGGGGUACGAUGCGGCUUCAUAUCCUUAGAGGUAUGAAGGUAGAAGUCAUCCUUGCAUUUACAGACAUUUGCACUCAUGAGGUAUAUAUGAAGUGUGACAUUACUAUGUUACUAUUGUGGUUUCUACCUGCGAGGUGUGGUAGCUAGGUGUGUUGUACGUUGUAUACGUGGCGCACCUUCGUAAUAAGAAGGUUGUGAAAUCAAGUGGUGGUAAAACAAUAUUCUUGUGUGGUUAAACAGUUUGAUAUUAUUUUACUUGAUGAGAUGUGUCAUCUCACUCUUGCAUUACUCAAUACAGGUGUUUGAUACAUGUUGG
RNAcentral lists this long non-coding RNA (1774 nucleotides) under Zea mays. Its description in RNAcentral is "long non-coding RNA (ZMAY_LNC001436)". The record is from RNAcentral. Lineage: Eukaryota; Viridiplantae; Streptophyta; Magnoliopsida; Poales; Poaceae.